AUACGGAGGGUGCAAGCGUUGUCCGGAUUUAUUGGGUUUAAAGGGUGCGUAGGUGGUUUUUUAAGUCAGUGGUGAAAGCCUACAGCUUAACUGUAGAGGUGCCAUUGAUACUGGGGAACUUGAGUAUGGACGAGGUAGGCGGGAUUUGUGGUGUAGCGGUGAAAUGCAUAGAUACCACAAGGAACACCGAUAGCGAAGGCAGCUUACUGGGCCAUAACUGACACUGAGGCACGAAAGCGUGGGGAGCGAACAGGAUUAGAUACCCUUGUAGUCC
This 274-nucleotide ribosomal RNA is filed under the name uncultured bacterium. Its description in RNAcentral is "partial 16S ribosomal RNA". It matches the Rfam family "Bacterial small subunit ribosomal RNA", at positions 523 to 796 of the family's 1533-position model. The record is from RNAcentral.